Molecule: long non-coding RNA, 222 nt
Filed under: Physcomitrium patens
Lineage: Eukaryota; Viridiplantae; Streptophyta; Bryopsida; Funariales; Funariaceae
Description: long non-coding RNA (PPAT_LNC005451)
Source: RNAcentral
UAUGAUUUGAAUUCAUUCCUAGAAGUGUUUAUGGUCUUAUUUGUAGAAAAUAAUCGAAGAAGAAUAGCAAAGAUUAAGCUCUUAUUUUUAUGGUAAGGAUCAUAAUUAGCCACCAUAUAUAUUGUUGAAUUUCAAAACUUUGCUUGCAAUGUAGAUUGAAAUGAUAAAGCUCUUAUCAAUUCUAAUGUGGAUUGAAGGAUAAUGUUGAAGAUUUGUUAUUUA